RNAcentral lists this transfer RNA (66 nucleotides) under Ptecticus aurifer. Its description in RNAcentral is "tRNA-Pro". Lineage: Eukaryota; Metazoa; Arthropoda; Insecta; Diptera; Stratiomyidae. The record is from RNAcentral.
CAGAAAAUAGUUUAAAAAAAAAUAUUAAUUUUGGGGAUUAAUGAUAAAGAGAUUCUUUUUUUCUGA